RNAcentral lists this long non-coding RNA (678 nucleotides) under Erythranthe guttata (spotted monkey flower). RNAcentral describes it as "long non-coding RNA (EGUT_LNC003176)". Lineage: Eukaryota; Viridiplantae; Streptophyta; Magnoliopsida; Lamiales; Phrymaceae. The record is from RNAcentral.
CCUCUUCUUCCUCGUUCCAUUCCGCCGCCACCUCACAACCAGGAAAAAGUUCGGCACCGCCGCCGCCCUCUGGUCCGUCUCGCACCACUGCCGCCCUCUGGUCCGUCUCGCACCACCACCACCCACCUACUCUCUCAAAUUUCUCUCCAUCGUCACCGCCGCCUUCUAGCCCGUCUCGCACCACCGCCACCCACCUACUCCUUCAGUUUUCUCUCUCUCGUCACCGCCGCCGUCUGAUACCACCCAUUUCCUAGCGAGAGAGACAAAGAGAUGUUGUGUAUGGGUAGGUUUUUUCUUCUCCUGCACAUUAUCGCCGCCGUCGCCGCCUUUGUUCAAAUUGAAGAAAUGGGCUGCCAUAGUAAGAGUGAAAUUGGGGGAGAAAUGGUACAUCGUGAAAAAUAAUCACGGUGCUGUGGAUCUGGAAAGAAAACGCAGGUGUAGGAAGGGUGAGCCGGUGGUUGGGCAGCGGCGUGGGGAGAAGAAGGGUUGAGUUGGGUGGUGGGUGGGGUGCAUCGGGGAAGAAGACUACUUUUUCUUCCUUUUCCUUUUUUUUAACUUAAAAUAUAAUAAAAUAAUAAUAUAAAACAUAUAAAAUAUUUUAAUACAACUAUAUAUAUUUAAUUUCUGUUUAUAUUUUAUUUUUAUAAUUACAAAAUUAUUAAUGUGUAUAAAAUUAAA